RNAcentral lists this ribosomal RNA (271 nucleotides) under uncultured bacterium. RNAcentral's name for it is "partial 16S ribosomal RNA". It matches the Rfam family "Bacterial small subunit ribosomal RNA", at positions 87 to 354 of the family's 1533-position model. The record is from RNAcentral.
CCGGGCGACCGGCGCACGGGUGAGUAACACGUAUGCAACCUGGCCGUGACAGAUGGAUAACCGGGAGAAAUCCCGCCUAAUACAACAUAAUGCCGGGAGGGGACAUCCCCUGCCGGCCAAAGGGGGCGACCCCGGUCACGGAUGGGCAUGCGGCGCAUUAGGUAGUUGGUGGGGCAACGGCCCACCAAGCCGACGAUGCGUAGGGGUUCUGAGAGGAAGGUCCCCCACAUUGGAACUGAGACACGGUCCAAACUCCUACGGGAGGCAGCAG